GACGAACGCUGGCGGCGUGCCUAACACAUGCAAGUCGAACGGAAAGGCCCUGCUUUUGUGGGGUGCUCGAGUGGCGAACGCGUGAGUAACACGUGAGUAACCUGCACUUGUCUUUGGGAUAACUUCAGGAAACUGGGGCUAAUAUCGGAUAGGAGCUCCUGCUGCAUGGUGGGGGUUGGAAAGUUUCGGCGGUUGGGGAUGGACUGGCGGGUUAUCAGCUUGUUGGUGGGGUAGUGGCUUACCAAGGCUUUGACGGGUAGCCGGCCUGAGAGGGUGACCGGCGUCCUGGGGACUGAGAGACGGCCCAGACGCCUACGGGAGGCAGCAGUGGAGAGUAUUGCACAAUGGGCGGAAGCGUGAUGCGGCGGCGCCGCGUGCGGGAUGACGGCCUUCGGGUUGUAAACCGCUUUCGCCUGUGACGAAGCGUGAGUGACGGUAAUGGGUAAAGAAGCACCGGCUAACUACGUG
RNAcentral lists this ribosomal RNA (468 nucleotides) under uncultured bacterium. RNAcentral describes it as "partial 16S ribosomal RNA". It matches the Rfam family "Bacterial small subunit ribosomal RNA", at positions 28 to 507 of the family's 1533-position model. The record is from RNAcentral.